This 253-nucleotide ribosomal RNA is filed under the name uncultured microorganism. RNAcentral's name for it is "partial 16S ribosomal RNA". It matches the Rfam family "Bacterial small subunit ribosomal RNA", at positions 524 to 776 of the family's 1533-position model. The record is from RNAcentral.
UACGUAGGGUGCGAGCGUUAAUCGGAUUUACUGGGCGUAAAGCGUGCGCAGGCGGUCUUGCCAGUCAGGGGUGAAAGCCCGGGGCUCAACCCCGGAAGUGCAUUGGAAACUGCUCUGCUUGAGUACCGGAGAGGAAGGGGGAAUUCCCGGUGUAGCGGUGAAAUGCGUAGAUAUCGGGAGGAAUACCAGUGGCGAAGGCGCCCUUCUGGACGGUUACUGACGCUGAGACGCGAAAGCGUGGGGAGCAAACAGG